UACGAAGGGGGCUAGCGUUGUUCGGAAUCACUGGGCGUAAAGGGCGCGUAGGCGGCGCGACAAGUCACUUGUGAAAUCUCCGGGCUUAACUCGGAACGGUCAAGUGAAACUGUCAUGCUAGAGUGCAGAAGGGGCAAUCGGAAUUCUUGGUGUAGCGGUGAAAUGCGUAGAUAUCAAGAGGAACACCUGAGGUGAAGACGGGUUGCUGGGCUGACACUGACGCUGAGGCGCGAAAGCCAGGGGAGCAAACGGG
RNAcentral lists this ribosomal RNA (253 nucleotides) under uncultured bacterium. RNAcentral describes it as "partial 16S ribosomal RNA". It matches the Rfam family "Bacterial small subunit ribosomal RNA", at positions 524 to 776 of the family's 1533-position model. The record is from RNAcentral.